GGGCUGAAAUGCCCUCCUGAAGGAGGAUUUAGCAGUAAGCAGGAAAUAGAGCGUCCCGCUGAAAUUGGCCCUGAAGCGCGCACACACCGCCCGUCACUCUCCCCAAAGCCCCCAUUCAAUAAUUAAAACCUAAUAAUCAAACAAGGGGAGGCAAGUCGUAACAUGGUAAGUGUACCGGAAGGUGCACUUGGAGUAAU
Molecule: ribosomal RNA, 197 nt
Filed under: Rhamphocottus richardsonii (grunt sculpin)
Lineage: Eukaryota; Metazoa; Chordata; Actinopteri; Perciformes; Rhamphocottidae
Description: partial 12S ribosomal RNA
Rfam family: Bacterial small subunit ribosomal RNA
Source: RNAcentral